Non-coding RNA from Monodelphis domestica (gray short-tailed opossum), 880 nucleotides. NCBI's taxonomy places the organism in Eukaryota, Metazoa, Chordata, Mammalia, Didelphimorphia, Didelphidae. The record is from RefSeq and is a predicted model, not a curated record.
CCUUAAAUCGAUCGCUUCUUCAUAGAAAGCUGGGAGGGAACUUGCCUACUUAGCCUCAAAGUCUGGUGGGAGCAGAGGAGGAACACUUAGAACAGUCUGGAACGUGGGGGUUCUAUCAAAGAGUCGCUUAGCCGUCCAGACACCGGCUUUACCCUACCUGCAGCCCAACCCACUGGCAGACCGGCCUCCCAAAGCAGGGCAGACAGAGGGCAGCAGCUUCCUACAUGUACGGCAAUCGGGCAUGACACACCACUCCCAAGUGACUUGCUGUGAUUUUUUUCAGAUUCCUAUAUCCAAAAAAAAAAAAAAAGCCCAAUUUUGACCACAGAGGCAUAUUAUCAACACUCUUUCUUUUUUGCUCCUUUGGUUAAGAACCACAUGUGAGACUUGUGCUAAUCCUAUUCAGCAAACUAAGACUGUCAACCCAAGAGCUUCAAAAAUAAAGCCACCAAGAUGAGAAUUUUUCAAAGACUCCGUAUCUAUGACAACCUAGAGUUCAAUUUUUAACUUUGCUAUGCACCAAAGAAGGCAGUUGUGGUUUCCAUGAACCAUUCUAUCUAAUCACACCUUCCAAGUUGUUGCUAAGGUGACAGCAAGAUGUGGGUUUCAUUUUCUCUCAAUUGGUUUUUAUAAGGCAGAUCCAUUCUAUCCAUCCACAAAAUAUGAAACUGUUCCUUCUUUCUUCUUUCCUAAGUCCAAUUAAGCAUACAAGCCAGGAAUUUGGCCCGAGAACCAUUCAUGAGCUGCUGAGUGCUAAAUCAUGCAACUACCUCCUGUCUCUUCCAUCCCUGGACAAUGACAAAUUAGUUCUUUGUUCAAGUUCUAGUCUUAGAAUUAUACUGCAGGCUCAAGAUACCCAAUAAAAAUGAAUAGGAUUUUU